UAUGACAUCUGAAAGACUGCUUCACUUUCCUAUUCCCUGGGUUUGUAUAAAUGUAACUGAGUUAAUUAAAUUAUUAUUUAUCAUACUAAGAGAUUUUCAAUUACUUUUGUUACAAAAGUAAAAUUACUACAUAGAAAUAAUUUGCCAUUGGUAAUAUCUAAUUUGGAAUUCAAGAAUAAUAACGUUCUAACUUUUUGGUCAGCAUAGCUCAUGCAAGUGUGUGCUUCAGAGUAGUGGCUCCCAAUAUUUUUUCUGCAGGACGCGUGUGACAGAUGCCAUUCACAAGCCCGCGCCCUCCAACAGACAGAUUCACACUGAGGCUCCGUUCUCCUUCCCAGCUGGAAUCAAUCCUCUUUCUCCACCAGCGGGGGAUGUCAAAAUGCAAAUAAAUCUGAAGGCCCUGACUCUUCACCAACAGCGCCUAUGCUUUGAGUUACUCUGUCCAGAUAAUAUUAAGAGAUGAUUCUAAUAACCUAAUCACCUGAAGCAUAUUUUCACCUGCGUGUAUGUGUGAGGCAAAGUAUUCUGGGAAACAUAACUCAGGUAGGUAUUUUGAAUAUAGACGUUUGAACACAGACAAACCUAGACGUUAAAGCGUAAUUA
Molecule: long non-coding RNA, 603 nt
Filed under: Equus asinus (donkey)
Lineage: Eukaryota; Metazoa; Chordata; Mammalia; Perissodactyla; Equidae
Description: lncRNA (ENSEASG00005029420.1)
Source: RNAcentral